Molecule: ribosomal RNA, 312 nt
Filed under: uncultured bacterium
Lineage: Bacteria
Description: bacterial SSU rRNA
Rfam family: Bacterial small subunit ribosomal RNA
Source: RNAcentral
AAUCAACGCUGGCGGCGUGCCUAACACAUGCAAGUCGCACGAGAAAGGGGAGCAAUCCCUGAGUAAAGUGGCGCACGGGUGAGUAACACGUGAAUCAUCUACCUCCGAGUGGGGAAUAACUGAGAGAAAUCUUAGCUAAUACCGCAUAACACUUACGAGUCAAAGCAGCAAUGCGCUUGGAGAGGAGUUCGCGGCCGAUUAGUUAGUUGGCGGGGUAAUGGCCCACCAAGACGAUGAUCGGUAUCCGGCCUGAGAGGGCGCACGGACACACUGGAACUGAAACACGGUCCAGACUCCGUACGGGAGGCAGCG